UUACAGAUAAGUAAAUUGAUUCGUAUAGAUUCGAGAAUAAGGCUCGAAAGUUUCUACCAGAUGGCCGUAAACCAUUUGACUACGAAUCUUGAUUAGGGGAGU
This 102-nucleotide non-coding RNA is filed under the name Selenihalanaerobacter shriftii. RNAcentral describes it as "Guanine sequence". It matches the Rfam family "Purine riboswitch aptamer". From Rfam's summary of the family: Riboswitches are metabolite binding domains within certain messenger RNAs that serve as precision sensors for their corresponding targets. Allosteric rearrangement of mRNA structure is mediated by ligand binding, and this results in modulation of gene expression. The record is from Rfam by way of RNAcentral. Lineage: Bacteria; Bacillati; Bacillota; Clostridia; Halanaerobiales; Halobacteroidaceae.